AUUGAACGCUGGCGGCAGGCCUAACACAUGCAAGUCGAGCGGAUGAAGGGAGCUUGCUCCCGGAUUCAGCGGCGGACGGGUGAGUAAUGCCUAGGAAUCUGCCUGGUAGUGGGGGAUAACGUCCGGAAACGGGCGCUAAUACCGCAUACGUCCUGAGGGAGAAAGUGGGGGAUCUUCGGACCUCACGCUAUCAGAUGAGCCUAGGUCGGAUUAGCUAGCUGGUGGGGUAAAGGCCUACCAAGGCGACGAUCCGUAACUGGUCUGAGAGGAUGAUCAGUCACACUGGAACUGAGACACGGUCCAGACUCCUACGGGAGGCAGCAGUGGGGAAUAUUGGACAAUGGGCGAAAGCCUGAUCCAGCCAUGCCGCGUGUGUGAAGAAGGUCUUCGGAUUGUAAAGCACUUUAAGUUGGGAGGAAGGGCAGUAAGUUAAUACCUUGCUGUUUUGACGUUACCAACAGAAUAAGCACCGGCUAACUUCGUG
This 484-nucleotide ribosomal RNA is filed under the name uncultured bacterium. RNAcentral's name for it is "partial 16S ribosomal RNA". It matches the Rfam family "Bacterial small subunit ribosomal RNA", at positions 30 to 507 of the family's 1533-position model. The record is from RNAcentral.